CCUGCCUUAGUCUGGACUCACCCCUGCCUUUUGCCUCAGACAGGGUGUAACAUCACAACUGGAUCUAUGAAGAUUAAUCCUCUGACAACAUCCAGGAAGUGUGACUUUGCUGGUUUGGACACCUAGAGAAGAUGAAUGAAGAGGAUCUGGUGAAGAUAGCAUGGCAGGAGAUGGUGGUAGGAAAGAGACACUGAGGAGGCAACAGAUGGAUUGCAUCAAAGGAGACGCUGUAAUGGAAUGUUUAUCCAGGAAGAAAACAAAUUUGCUGGGCACCAAUACGGUUCAGAGAGUGGCACAAGAUGACAUCUGUGGAGGAAAGGUCCUUUAUUGCUGAGGAAUCCUAGCUGCUCACUAGUUAUUGAGUUGGACAUAGAAUAAAUAACAGGAAGUUAUUAUUUUUGUGGCAGAGUUUUUUGGUGGGGCUCUUUAACUCACCGUAUCUCUAUACAGUCUCAUUUAUGAAGAACAUGUUUGAAAUGUCCCUUGGAGCUGGCUGUGAAUGACAGGACUUCAUUGAACAGCCUAUCACUUUGAGGUCUUUGUUAAAAUGCUUCUUCCUACCUCCAUAAUAUACAGAGUAAAUGGAGUGGCAGCAGCCAUGUUUGCUUUUGGCUGCCUCCCUUGGCUGGAAAUGUGUUGUCUACAUCUCUGCACUUCAUCGUUCAUCUCUGUAGAACAUGCUUUCUGAGUGCACAUCUCCG
This is a long non-coding RNA of Trachemys scripta elegans, 701 nucleotides long. RefSeq lists it as uncharacterized. The transcript is spliced from 3 exons. Lineage: Eukaryota; Metazoa; Chordata; Testudines; Emydidae. The record is from RefSeq and is a predicted model, not a curated record.